RNAcentral lists this ribosomal RNA (512 nucleotides) under uncultured bacterium. RNAcentral's name for it is "bacterial SSU rRNA". It matches the Rfam family "Bacterial small subunit ribosomal RNA", at positions 28 to 526 of the family's 1533-position model. The record is from RNAcentral.
GACGAACGCUGGCGGCGUGGAUUAGGCAUGCAAGUCGAACGGUAUCAUCCUUUCGGGGGUGAGAGAGUGGCGAACUGGUGAGUAACACGUAGGUUAUCUACCCUCAAGACGGGGACAACCCAGGGAAACUUGGGCUAAUACCGGAUGUGAGCAACUUUUAGUUGUUUGAAAGGUGGCGUAAGCUGUCGCUUGGGGAUGAGCCUGCGUCCUAUUAGUUAGUUGGUGAGGUAACGGCUCACCUAGGCAAUGAUAGGUAGGCGGCCUUAACGGGUGGUCGCCCACACUGGGAUUGAGAUACGGCCCAGACUCCUACGGGAGGCAGCAGUCGAGAAUAGUCUACAAUGGUCGGAAGACUGAUAGUGCGACGCCGCGUGAACGAUGAAUCCCUUCGGGGUGUAAAGUUCUUUUAUAUGUGAGCAGUGCUUCUUAUAUUAACAGUAUGGGAGAGAGAUAUUAGCAUAUGAAUAAAGCAACGGCUAAACUCCGUGCCCAGCCAGCCGACGGUAAAAUAC